CUACACAGGCAUUGCAUGGCUGUCAUCAGCCCGUGGCGACAAGCUGUCCAGACAUUAGUCUGGGAACGGGCAUCUCCCCUACUCGAAUAGCAUAUUCGAGACUGUUAUCUUUUCGAGCGAAGAGAUAAAGGAAGUUGGGACGAAGUCAAGUCAUCAUGGUCCUCAUGGAGUGGGCCACACGUGUGUGACAACGAAAGUCACAAUAGCAAGCAUCGGCGGAAGCCAAAGCGACGCUUUAAAAGCUUUCGUAGUGCCGAUAAAAGCCUGAAACUCGGCUUUUUGAAGGCGGAAUCGCCAGUAAUCGUAGGUCAGCAAACUACGGUGAAACGUCACAUGCUUGUCUCAACGACGCAUCGCCCGUCACGUUUGGAGAGUGUCGUGCACAGGAAAACUGGAUGAAUACCGAUCAGAAAUUUCUCGGAGUGUGUCACUAAAGUGACACAUAAGACUCGAAUUUUAACGAGUCGAAAACGCUGUUUGAUGUUCGUUUUGUUGAAUGUGUGUAGCGCAAUCUAGAUGAAGUCGUAACAAGGUAGCUGUACGGGAACGUGUAGCUG
RNAcentral lists this ribosomal RNA (557 nucleotides) under Bracteacoccus aerius. RNAcentral's name for it is "small subunit ribosomal RNA". It matches the Rfam family "Bacterial small subunit ribosomal RNA", at positions 1030 to 1520 of the family's 1533-position model. Lineage: Eukaryota; Viridiplantae; Chlorophyta; Chlorophyceae; Sphaeropleales; Bracteacoccaceae. The record is from RNAcentral.